RNAcentral lists this ribosomal RNA (429 nucleotides) under Gemmatimonadota bacterium. RNAcentral describes it as "Gemmatimonadetes bacterium partial 16S ribosomal RNA". It matches the Rfam family "Bacterial small subunit ribosomal RNA", at positions 355 to 776 of the family's 1533-position model. Lineage: Bacteria; Pseudomonadati; Gemmatimonadota. The record is from RNAcentral.
UAGGGAAUCUUCGGCAAUGGACGAAAGUCUGACUGAGCAACGCCGCGUGAGCGAAGAAGGUUUUCGGAUCGUAAAACUCUGUUGUUAGAGAAGAACAAGGACGUUAGUAACUGAACGUCCCCUGACGGUAUCUAACCAGAAAGCCACGGCUAACUACGUGCCAGCAGCCGCGGUAAUACGUAGGUGGCAAGCGUUGUCCGGAUUUAUUGGGCGUAAAGCGAGCGCAGGCGGUUUCUUAAGUCUGAUGUGAAAGCCCCCGGCUCAACCGGGGAGGGUCAUUGGAAACUGGGAGACUUGAGUGCAGAAGAGGAGAGUGGAAUUCCAGGUGUAGCGGUGAAAUGCGUAGAUAUAUGGAGGAACACCAGUGGCGAAGGCGGCUCUCUGGUCUGUAACUGACGCUGAGGCUCGAAAGCGUGGGGAGCAAACAGG